Non-coding RNA from Paramisgurnus dabryanus, 1249 nucleotides. Lineage: Eukaryota; Metazoa; Chordata; Actinopteri; Cypriniformes; Cobitidae. The record is from RefSeq and is a predicted model, not a curated record.
CCCAACUCUGUGCCGGAGUUCCUCGUUCUUAUCAUGGAGUCAGGACAAAACCAGACCGCUACACCUCCUCAUCCUCGACUGAAAGCUUCGGUUUUAAAAGAAAACAAGACGGGCGGAGUCAAUUUGAUUCAAAUUCCAAUUCAUGAAUUGGAUGGAGGCCAAUUCUGAAAUUCUGAAUUGUGCACAAGCCUGCCACAGAGGACGGUGAACUGCAACACAUAACAGAUCGGUAGAUUGAAGAUGUGGAGAACAGUGCUAGUGAUUCUCAUUGCGGCAUCAGUUUCUUAUAGCGAUCAAAUUGAACCAACUGAAGCAGUUCUUGUCAAAAGUGAUAAUGACCGUGUUACUUUGACUUGCACUUAUGAAACAACCAGUGAAUUUGUUCAUCUUAUCUGGUACAGACAAUAUCCCAACAGUGAACCUCAGUAUUUACUGUGGAAAGGUGCCCGAUCAAGAGAUGGCAGUCAGCGCAUAGGAGAUUCUCAUUUUGACUCCUCUACAUCCAGAACAUCCACAGAACUGAUCAUUAAAAAGACUGCUCUAAAAGAUUCAGCUCUUUAUUACUGUACAAUUUGGAUAGACACAGUGAUACAAAGUGUGUAAGAAGCUGUACAAAAACUCACACAAACUAUUCACUUUAAUCUCAAAAACAUCAAAGUAUCACCAAAAUCCUAUUAUCUCGCAAAACCAUACAUUAGUGUAUAGGAAACACCUGCAAGUACAGUCACCAAAAGCAAACCUUUUAUUUAAUGAAGCAGAGUUUCCCCUAAAUGAAGUGUGAUGUGUAAAUUAAAAAUAUUUUAAAAUAUCGAUAAUAUAACAUUUCCAGAAACCCGUAUUGAUAUGAUUGUCUAUUAUACAGAUAUUGUCAGGGUUGUGGACAGGUUGUGGACAGGUUGUUUGACCGAUACGCAAGGUCAUGAGUCUCCACACAGAACAUAGGACUGUCAGAACCCUGCCAUCAUGACCAGAUAUAAAUAUUAAACAAGACUUUUGGCAGGAUCCUGACAGAUAUAGAUACAGAAUAAUAUAACCCGUAUUCAAACUUUAAAAUAAUGUGACACAUUGUGCAUAAUAUUUUUAGAUACAGAUACUGUUAUGGACCAAGAACGGACUCCAAUGCAGGAGAGUACAGUUCACAAAUUUAUUGACACUCCUUAAAGGGGACAUAUUAUGAAAAUCUGACUUUUUCCAUGUUUAAGUGCUAUAAUUGUGUCCCCAGUGCUUCUAUCAACCUAGAAAAUGUGAA